AACGAACGCUGGCGGCGCGUCUUAAGCAUGCAAGUCGAACGGCAAGAGAGGAGCUUGCUUCUCUCCUAGAGGGGCGGAGUGGUGAGGAACACGUGGGUAAUCGACCCUUAAGAUUGGGAUGGGUGCUCGAAAGAACAGGUAAUACCGUAUACCAUCGGCCUAUCGCGAGAGAGGAUGAGGAAAGGAAGCUUCGGGCUCGCGUGAGGGUGAGCUUGCGUCCCAUUAGCUAGCUGGUGAGGUAAAGGCCCACCAAGGCGACGAUAGGUAGCCGGACUGAGAGGGUGAUCGGCCACAUUGGAACUGAGACACGGCCCAAACUCCUACGGGAGGCAGCAGUUGAGAAUAUUGCGCAAUGGACGCAAGUCUGACGGAGCGAUGCCGCGUGGAUGAAGAAGGCCUACGAGUUGUAAAAUCCUUUUGUUGAUGAAGAAUAGGGGCGGGAGAGAAUGCCCAUGUGCUGACGGUACUCGACGAAUAAGCCCCGGCUAACUACGUG
Molecule: ribosomal RNA, 496 nt
Filed under: uncultured bacterium
Lineage: Bacteria
Description: partial 16S ribosomal RNA
Rfam family: Bacterial small subunit ribosomal RNA
Source: RNAcentral